UCUCCCUCACUCUUACACUUAUUCUCUUUCUCUCUCUCUCUCUCUGUCUCACACAUACACUGUCUCCCCCUCCCUCUCAAUCUAUCUCUCACUGUCAUUCAUUCUCCCUGUCUCCGUGCCCCUGUGUUUUAGCUGCACACUCCCGAUAUCGGAGGAAUGGGGACCACGAUGGAUGUUGUUCAGGCCGUAACCCAACUCAUCCAGAGCAGAGCGAGCCGACCCCAGCUGGCUUAAAGCCCAGUGCGGAGACGCCACAGCACCAGUGAGAUGCAGCAAGGCAGAGUUAGAAUCUUCAAACUAGACCGGGUGCCGUGUACGGCUGACCGCUUAGCCAUCCUCCAUCCUCCAUCCUCCAUCCUCUCGUCUGUUUCUGUGUCAGCGUCUGCCCUAAGGCUGUGCGGAGAAAUCUAUGUGCUAGCAUAACCCCACAGUGACGAGAACGCACAGAUACCGCUCACCUCUCUGGGAACUGUAUAUCAAAGCAAGCUACACGGCAAACAUUUCUCAAUAAAGAAAUAUUUCACUUCA
Long non-coding RNA from Rhincodon typus (whale shark), 528 nucleotides. RefSeq lists it as uncharacterized. The record is from RefSeq and is a predicted model, not a curated record. The transcript has 2 exons. Lineage: Eukaryota; Metazoa; Chordata; Chondrichthyes; Orectolobiformes; Rhincodontidae.